AUAGCGUAUAUUAAAGUUGUUGCAGUUAAAAAGCUCGUAGUUGAACUUCAGGCCUGGCCGGGUGGUCUGCCUAACGGUACGUACUGUCUGGCUGGGCCUUACCUCUUGGUGAGCCGGCAUGCCCUUUACUGGGUGUGUCGGGGAACCAGGACUUUUACCUUGAGAAAAUUAGAGUGUUCAAAGCAGGCCUAUGCCCGAAUACAUUAGCAUGGAAUAAUAAAAUAGGACGUGCGGUUCUAUUUUGUUGGUUUCUAGAGUCGCCGUAAUGAUUAAUAGGGAUAGUUGGGGGCAUUAGUAUUCAGUUGCUAGAGGUGAAAUUCUUGGAUUUAUGGAAGACUAACUUCUG
This 346-nucleotide ribosomal RNA is filed under the name uncultured eukaryote. RNAcentral's name for it is "SSU rRNA". It matches the Rfam family "Eukaryotic small subunit ribosomal RNA", at positions 594 to 945 of the family's 1831-position model. The record is from RNAcentral.